This 300-nucleotide ribosomal RNA is filed under the name uncultured Pelosinus sp. RNAcentral's name for it is "bacterial SSU rRNA". It matches the Rfam family "Bacterial small subunit ribosomal RNA", at positions 496 to 795 of the family's 1533-position model. Lineage: Bacteria; Bacillati; Bacillota; Negativicutes; Selenomonadales; Sporomusaceae. The record is from RNAcentral.
GUGAACGCCGUGUCAGCAGGCGGGGUAAAACGGAGGGUCCAAGCGUUAACCGGAAUCAUUGGGUUUAAAGGGUCCGGAGGCGGCAGUAUAAGUCAGCGGUGAAAGUUUUUGGCUUAACCAAAAAAUUGCCAUGGAUACUGUAGGGCUUGAAUAUUUGUGAAGUAACUAGAAUAUGUAGUGUAGCGGUGAAAUGCUUAGAUAUUACAUGGAAUACCAAUUGCGAAGGCAGGUUACUAACAAAUGAUUGACGCUGAUGGACGAAAGCGUGGGUAGCGAACAGGAUUAGAUACCCGAGUAGUC